GUCCACGCCCUAAACGAUGUCAACUGGUUGUUGGACGGCUUGCUGUUCAGUAACGAAGCUAACGCGUGAAGUUGACCGCCUGGGGAGUACGGCCGCAAGGUUGAAACUCAAAGGAAUUUACGGGGACCCGCACAAGCGGUGGAUGAUGUGGUUUAAUUCGAUGCAACGCGAAAAACCUUACCUACCCUUGACAUGUCUGGAAUUUUGCAGAGAUGUGAAAGUGCUCGAAAGAGAACCAGAACACAGGUGCUGCAUGGCCGUCGU
RNAcentral lists this ribosomal RNA (264 nucleotides) under uncultured bacterium. Its description in RNAcentral is "partial 16S ribosomal RNA". It matches the Rfam family "Bacterial small subunit ribosomal RNA", at positions 793 to 1055 of the family's 1533-position model. The record is from RNAcentral.